CUCAUCAUGGCCUGUGAAUAAUAGACAUGUGAUUUAAAUGUCUAUCAGGCUUUAAGUCACAUGAGUGAAUCUUCAAAUCGAUUACCGAUGCAAUUAGAGUGAAGUUCAUAUUUCUCCCAACGUACACCUCCACAGAUAGGGAACGCUGUUGACAUUAGGCCCAUUUCUCCAAGAUAUACCACCCGGAAAGCUCCAAUUUCAUAGUCGACUGCCCCUUGAUUACCCCUCAGCUUCGUAAACACAGCGACUCAUCAGUGUCAUAUUAUCUGCAAACACAGCUAUUGGGUGCGAUGCACUGGUACCUGAGAUCACGCUAGUUAGUGCAAAGCUGAAUAUGUUGAAAUACCGCUUCACCACUCACUCGGAAUUAGCAGGAACAAGCUUGAGAGAUGGAACCACUAAAUUGAGAGAUGAGAGCCUGGCAAUGGAUCCAACCAAUCCAUGCUGAAGAUAGCAUCGCUAACUUUGGUGCUCUGAUAAAAUCAUCAAUCAUUAUCACGCGAAAAUGAGGAGGCUGAAUUAUCGUUACCUGCAAAGUGAUUUGAUGGCCGGAAUAGCAGGGCAUGAAAACCUGAGAUAUCAUGCAGAUAAGAUGAUGCCGGACACAUUCAGCCAACUUCUUUACUUCGAAUCUCAUGACUCGCGUCCUCCGGCUGACCUCGUCCUGUGGGGAAUCGAAAACCAAUUUGUCCCUCACUCGAUCAACCAAUUUCGGUAGCAUUUGGAGUCGAUGAUUGAGGAUGGCAAACUGGGCGCAUCCCUGUAUCAUAAUUCCAGGGGCAAUUGUGUCAUAAGCCGCAUGCAUACACGCAUCAAAUCCGUGGGCAAUGACUUGGUGCAUGUAAGCUGCCCAAAAUCUACCCGACGACGAGUAAUUGAACGGUAGCCAGGCGUGAUAAUAUAGCUGGUGCUUCGUCAAUACAGGCUGACACAGCAGUCAAUGAGAGGAGACAGUACCAGAAUGAGUGAAGAAAAUAAUAUGAUCUGUACAAUUGCAUGGACACCUCAAACCCAGAAGGAUCCGAACAUUUAUAAUCAGUAGAUUAUUUUUGUUCCUCGUCAAAUUCGUCACAAGUCAAAUAAACCGUUCACUUACUUAAUUAUCCGAGAAAAAUGCUGUAAAAUAGCCGUCUCCUGAUUAUCCUGAGACUUUUGUACGUCAACAAGAGGUCAAUCACUUGGGAGAGAGUGUUGGUAUAAACGAGAAUAAUCAUGACAACGGUGUAAAAACAAUAAAGUCUGGACUUCCAUCCUGGAGGCCAGUCGGGUGGAAGCCAAAC
Long non-coding RNA from Diachasmimorpha longicaudata, 1280 nucleotides. RefSeq lists it as uncharacterized. NCBI's taxonomy places the organism in Eukaryota, Metazoa, Arthropoda, Insecta, Hymenoptera, Braconidae. The transcript has 6 exons. The record is from RefSeq and is a predicted model, not a curated record.